Molecule: long non-coding RNA, 1274 nt
Organism: Symphalangus syndactylus (siamang)
Lineage: Eukaryota; Metazoa; Chordata; Mammalia; Primates; Hylobatidae
Source: RefSeq, a predicted model, not a curated record
AGCGUGUACACAUUGCAGUCUGCUGUACGGGAAAUGACUUAUUUAUUCUAGGUUCAUUCACAGCUUCUGUUUAUGGCAUAAUACCUUCUGAGAGUAGGCCAUUAUGACAACAAUGCCUCUGUUUCCUCCAGAUUCUUGGCUGUCACUAUCCUGACCUACCACCUGUGUCACAUCCCAUUAGGUUCUGUGGAUGAGGCAUGGUGCUUGGCACAGACUGACAUAUGUUGGGGCAAACUUGGCAGAGCAGCCUGAGCCAAAGCAAAAAAACAGACCUGAACCAAGAUACAACCUCUGUGGAAAACCCUACUGAACAAAAGCAACUCUGUGGAGUGUCCUUUCAGCUGCAAAUUGAGACAGAAUUGUGGGGCAAGCUUGGCCACUGAUGCAGUUUUGUCAUUUCAAGAACAUUGUAAAUAUGGACUCACACAGAUUCUGUAGCUCGCUACACAGAAAGCCAGAGACUGAGAGCCAAUGACUGAGACUGUGAGUAUUGCCAAGGAAGAAGGCUUUAAUCGGGUGCUGAUGAUUAGCUCAGGAGGUAAGAGCUCAGUCUCAAAUCCAUCUCCCUGACCAACUAAAGCUAAGGGUUUAUAUAGCAGGGAAGAAAACAGGAACUAGGAAGGGGCAAGGAAGCGAUCGUGAUGAAUGAGGGGUCAGGCAUCUCAUUGUCUGGAUGUGGCGAUCUGCUCACAGUGGCCACACCUGGGACUUCCAAUGUGAAUGCUUUUGUCACGGAUGCUGCUGCUGUUUCUGGUUCUUACUCUGCUUACACCAAGGAGACUGAUGUCCCUGCCAUAACCCCACUUCCCAUGCAGACAGCAUUUCCAAUGCAUUGCAGCUUUCAGGAAUUUCUCACCGUGUUUUUGCCUCUCCUUUUCUUUAAGACAUGAGCACUUGUCUUCGGGGACGGCCUGAAGUGCAGUCUCCACUACCCAGAGUCAUCUCACUCUCUAACCUUGACUCAUGAUCUGAGAACAAGUGCUCCCCUGCUUGGCUUCCUGAGGGGCAUCUGUACCUCUUGCAAACAUUUCCUUUGGGCUCUGUCAUUUAGAAAUGCCCUUGUUUAUCUGAAUUAUAGUUCCAGUUCAGAACAUUUACAAAGGAACAGAUUGUUCCCAAUUUAAAAGCAGGUAAAUUCUAAAAGUUAGCAAGCCAGCCAUUUAGAAUUUGAGCGUCAUAUUCCACAGGUAUGAAAUUAUACGCAAUGAAAAAGUUCCCAGUGCAGCCCACAAGAAGCCUACUUAUCCAAAAUAAAGCUAACCCGAGGUAAUACA